Molecule: long non-coding RNA, 1109 nt
Filed under: Homo sapiens (human)
Lineage: Eukaryota; Metazoa; Chordata; Mammalia; Primates; Hominidae
Description: HSALNT0304633
Source: RNAcentral
AGGCACUGCGGAGGGAGCACCACCACCACUCGCCAAGGUCUUAAUAGACUCCGCGCUCCAUAAAGUGGACACCGAGCCAGUGACGGCGGAGAUGGCCCGGCGGGCGCCCACCGGCAUUGGCUGCGCUCCGAUUACUUCGUUAAGCAGUGUCAUGCUUCUUCUUCUUUUUUUUCUUUUUCUUUUCUUUUCUUUUUUUUUUUUAAUUUUUCCCUCCUACUGUGAGAACUGUUCACUUGGAGACUCCCUGUCUUAAUUACAAAGAGCCCUUUUAACCAUAGGUCACAGGACUUGGCUCUCUUGACAGGAAAUAAGGAAACAAGCUACCUUCCUGGAAAAAAAAAUUCAAACUUCUACUUCUCAAAUUAGUUAAAUGAAGCUUGUCGACGGUUGGGAGUUGAGCCUUAUGACAGUUGGCUAAUUGCAGUUGGUACAUUAACUAUGUUUUAACCAGAGCAGUUUGGGAUCUAAGUAGAUUAAAAAAAUAAAGCAAGCCUAGGCAUUUCCAACGAAAAACACUUAAAAUAACCACAAAGUUAAUAUUGGUUUUACUUGCUAUAUGUAUUACAAUACAAAAUGGAUUCCUGUAUCUUUAACAUUGUAAUUAAGUAAAUUUACAAAUAUUAACAUUUUUAAAAUGACACUAAAGCUACUUUAAAUCCUAGGAAGGCCUCUCUCUCUCUCUCUCUCUCUGCCCUUUCUUUUUUGAUUCUGCCUUCAAAAUGUCCUCUGUCUGUAUUUUUUAUAUUAAAUAUUCGCUGCAAAGUCUAUCUAGUAAAUAUCUGGUUCCAAGUCUGUGUACACCAUUCUCAAAUAUAAAACUUUUCAAAUGAAGAUAAACCUUUAGUUGAAUUGGUUUAUUUUCUGAUUUGAUUCUUUAAUGUUAUUAUAGAAGAUGGAAUAUCAUUUACAGUAACAUUAAAAAAAACUCUGGUGGUUUUCUUAUUGAAAGGCUUAUAAUAACAAGCAGAAAUAAAGCAACCAAGAUUUAGAAAAAUAUCGUAGUGUUUUUGCAUAUUUAAUUUAUUAUUUACACUAACAUAUAAUGUCAGAAUGAUAAUUAUAAUGUGGCCUGAGUUACAAGAAUAUAAAAGAAUAAAAAGUCUAAGAAG